AAUGAACGCUGGCGGCGUGCUUUAACACAUGCAAGUCGAACGAUGAAGCCUAGCUUGCUAGGUGGAUUAGUGGCGCACGGGUGAGUAAUAUAUAGAUAACGUGCCUCUUAGUCUGGGAUAGCAUUGGAAACGAUGAUUAAUACUAGAUACUCCUUCUCAUUAUAAUUUGAGUUGGGAAAGUUUUUUCGCUUAAGAGAUCGGUCUAUAUCCCAUCAGCUUGUUGGUAGUGUAAGAGACUACCAAGGCUAUGACGGGUAGCGGGUUUGAGAGGAUGAUCCGCCACACUGGUACUGAGACACGGACCAGACUCCUACGGGAGGCAGCAGUGAGGAAUAUUGCACAAUGGGGGAAACCCUGAUGCAGCAACGCCGCGUGGAGGAUGACGCAUUUCGGUGUGUAAACUCCUUUUAUAUGUCAAGAAAAUGACGGUAGCAUAUGAAUAAGCACCGGCUAACUCCGUG
Molecule: ribosomal RNA, 461 nt
Filed under: uncultured bacterium
Lineage: Bacteria
Description: bacterial SSU rRNA
Rfam family: Bacterial small subunit ribosomal RNA
Source: RNAcentral